This is a non-coding RNA of Nelumbo nucifera (sacred lotus), 5490 nucleotides long. NCBI's taxonomy places the organism in Eukaryota, Viridiplantae, Streptophyta, Magnoliopsida, Proteales, Nelumbonaceae. The record is from RefSeq and is a predicted model, not a curated record.
CAGUCCAACAGUGGUGAUCCUCUAAUGACCACAAUGGCUGUCCUCCUGCACCAUCUCAUCACUGCUCAAGGUGGCCUGACUUACCAUUCACCCGCAACCUUGCGCCGCGAGCGCCCAGCGGUUGUACUCUCGGAGAGAAAAAGGUUCACAUUUUUCGACUCAAUGGUUGUUGUAUUUCUGUGGGCCGCUCACCGCUGCCCCUCGUUGCCCAUUUUCCCGUUUCAAACUCGAAGCUUCUCUCUGUAACACUGCAAUCUCAUUUUCGAGGCGCUGGUCCUGUCAAUUUCAACUACUCCUCCAAGCUUUCCUCCAAUGCCCUCGCUACACAGUCUACAGGCUUUGGAGGAAGCUACAAAGUUCCAACUAAAGAGAACACUUUUCACUGGUAUAUUCUACAUGUUAUUUUAGAUUGCUGGCUUGGAUGUUAAAUAUGUAGCAUAUGUUUUCAAUUUUGAAUCCUAAUUACUCCUAGAUGAUGGAUCAUGUCACUGUCUAUACUAACUAACCCUAAAGAAGGAAGUUCAACAUAUGGUUUUCAACAUCAACCAAGGAUCAUUUUAUAGUUAGUACAAGUCCAUAGCAUCAGGCUCUGGACUGUAGCUUGAGAGGGUUCUAUAUUAUUCUUUCUUUUACCAAAAACAUUAUCUUUUCUAAGAACCAAAGCUGAUAAUAAAAUUACAUCCUAUUGAUAAAAAAAUAAUAAAAUUACAUCCUAUUGAUAAAAAAAAUAAUAAAAUAACAUCCAUCCUCAUAUGAUAUGAGAAAGAGAUAAGCUAUGGAAACAAAAUAAAAGAGAAAAACUGAGAAAUAAAAUAAAUGCUAUCUUGGAAUGAACUAAUGGGCCUUGGUAUCCAUCUGAACGAUAUAUCUGUUCUGGAAGCCAAGUCUCUCAUCUCCUUGAUCAGAUGAUUCAUAAUGCAAGGGUUGUCAGACCUGUUUCACAUCUCUCAAAAUCACAACUUGGGAACUGCCCUCCUCAACUCAUUCAAACAAUAUAAGCCAUUGAAGCAAUGUUAUAUUCUUUUCUGUAAUGUAAUCCCCAUUUUCAAUUGGACUUGAAUAUGCUAUAAGAAUUCACUUGGCACCUCCAAAGGGACUCCUUACACCUAAUGGCUCUGUAUUCCUAAGCAAACAAUCACCAAUGUGGAGCUUAAUAGGUCUCAAAGCUUUCUUUGUUGGAGAGGGGGUGGAGGGACCGCUUCUAAAGCAUAGUUUGCAUCCUAGUAGAUGAAGACAUUACUCCUAAUUAAGAAGCACAUAGUUCAAUUCCCAAAUUCAUCUCUCAUCAAUAUCCAUAAGCCAUUUUGUAGUACUAGAUCAAUGAUUUUCUGCUCAGGAGUCUAGAAAUGAAACCAUCCAGAACAAGCUUGGGGCGUCAACUGAGGGAUUCCAACUAGAGCUGAAUGGAGGGAAGACUUGCUUUGUGGUGUAUGUGAGUUGUCUAAAUCAACUGCCCAUUCACCUUACAAAUUAUGCGGACAUGAGGACAUAGUUUAGAAAUCCUGUCUGCAUUGAAGCAUCUCACAAGUAUUGGCCUUCAUAUGAACCGCUUCAGAAUAAGUCUCUGGUUUUUUAUGUGGUAACCAAACAACUUUUUUUAUCACAAAUACCUAUGGAUUAGGUGCAUUCUCAUUGAUGAGCGCAAAGAUUCAAGAGCAAGACAGGUUUUUUUUUUUUUUUUAAAUUAUUCAGGCUCCACAAACAGGAAUGGAAUCCAAACUUUCAUGUUCUUGUGGUUCUCUUCCAAAUUUGAAAUCCAAUGAUAGAACAGGCUGGAACGGAAAAAAAAAAACUGUGAAAAAGAGACGAAAGUUCCAGAUCCUUACACUUGAGGCAGAGAGAAAUCUAGGAAAUCUAUUUUGACAAAGAGUUCUCCACACCAUAUGUCAUCCUAAAGUUUGAUACCAAUCCUCUUAGGUAAAGUAGGGAUUCUCCAUUUAUCCCUUUCACUAAAAGGGUGGAAGUUCCUUGCCAAGGGGACAGGGUGGAUUAGGGGGAGUUCUUUGUUCUGAUGAACUAGUGCUACCAGCCAGAGAGGACAAGGGGUUCAAGAGGGUUCCUUUCCCCUCAGACACCAAAAGGAAAAAAAAAUCACAUCAUACCUCAGAGAAUGAGAGAAAAUUGGUACCAUGGCCAAACUAGGCAACCAAGGAAAUAAAAUAUGAUUCUUAUCUCCAGGACCAGUAUCCAUUCAUUUUCUUAAGGACCACACCGGAGUUAAUGACCCAAUUAAAUAUGCUGUUUUUCUCCCUAAAAGAUGUCUGCAAUCACUAGUGUAGGAGAGGGAGGUCCUACAAUUUCUGUGAGCACUUCAUGAGCAUGAAAUAAAGGGAUAGAUGUUAAAACUAAAAGUAAGAGAAAAUCGUAGAAAACAAAGUUGUCAAGUAAAGAACUGGUUAAGUAAAUUAAUAUUGGAUGGAGGGAAUUGGUUUAGGGAGAGUUUCAAAAAGGUUAAUUCCAUAGCUGCAAUUUGAAUAGAAGAUGGUUUUAAGGGUAAAAUUCCUGAAAGUUACAGGACUCAGAAAUCUCCAGGGCUUAUUAGGGAGACUUGUGAUAUCUUGGAGAAUAUGAGUAAUUAACCAAAGCAAGUCAAGGGCACUAGAAUAGAUAGAUCAAAAGAACAAGGGGGACCUGUAUACUGGGAAAAUUAGGGUCAGAAAGAGGGGAAACUAACAAAAAUACAGUUGGACCUUAAAGUAGUUUUAUUCAAUAUUCUCUCACACCAAAGACCUGUAUACUGGGAAUGUACAAACUAUAAACUCCAUAUUAGACAAAAAGAUUGCUUCUAACCCCAAAAAAAUCGCAUGGCUUCCCUUUGAAAAUGCUAUCUACACCAACCCGAGAAAGAAUUCUUUUUUUGGUAAUCCCAAGAAAGAAUUCUAGCCUUAAGAUUAGAUACCAGCCUGCCUAUCUUCAGACUCAGAUUUCUGAAAAAAAAAUAUUCUCUGUCCAAGUCUUUGCCCACAAUAGCAUGUUUGCUAGUUGGUUCAUAUAGUGGGCUUCCCUAAACAAUGAAGGGUUUCUUAGACGUGUGACAAAUCAGUUAGGAGCUGAAAAAUAGUCUGAGUUCCUCUCCUCACCCUCUCCGUUCAUGGAAAAAAAACAAACCACUUUGCCACAUGUGCAAAACAAGCCUACUUUUAUAUGCAAGUUUUAUAUUAGAAAAAUUAAAAUUUGAACAGCUAAUAUUAGUUCUGGAAACCACCAAUAUUAGCUGGGUUAAAUGCAUGUUCUGGGUUGUGAGACUGAACAUAGGGCUAAUUUAGUGGGUCUCUAUCUGAUGGAUGUUCUGGAUUGGCCAUAAAUCCCCCAGUGUGACAGAUAUCAAAUAUGUGGGUUCUUAUAGGGAAUCUCCCUACUUGACCUAACUAGUAAACCUUUUGCAUUAAGACAAAGAAAAUUAAUGGGGGUAAUGAUGGUUUCUGUCUGUUCUGCUAUACUUGGAUGGAAUUGCCUGCUUUGUUCUUGCAGUUUGUUCAUAAUUGAUUACCUCUUUUUCCUCUGACCAUAAGUAGUUCAAUCAAAAGAGAUUCUGAGUCGGUGUCAAACAGAAAGAACACUCCAAAAAUUUUUAGUGAAGUGAAACUGUUCUUUUUCUAGCCUGUUUUACUUAGUUGGCUGUGUUCUUGGCUAAAUCUCAGCAUCCAUUAAACAGCACCAUAUUCUGGCACCAGUCUUUUCUAUCCUUUUCAUUUCAUGAAAAUGGAAGUCCUUCCAGUACCAGAGCUACACUACCUAGAAGGACAAUCAUAGCUAAAGGAGGAAUGCUAAUCAUACUUGGUCAGGUAGGAUUAGAGAUCUGCCCUCAUUUCCUCACCUUUUGCUUUUUCCCUGUCCAUUAAGGUGUUUGUGCCUUAUCACAUGGAGGCAUGUUGUCAAUUAAACCACGUCUCUCUCUCUCAAACACACACCAAUUGAAGGAAAACCACUCUUCAUUUUGUUCUUUCAUCUAGUUUUCUGUUAUCAUUUAGGCCAUGGUAAUGUCCUAUGUUUUGGGAAUUGGAGGAUACAUAUGACCCAUGUUAGGGGUUUUGACAUGCUUCAUAUUGUAUGUGUAUGCCAAUAGAACAUGGUAAGGUGGUGGUGGUGGUCUGACUCCAAACGUCUGGAGGAGAAUGGCAUUGGAGAGGUUGGUAGUUCUAGUAUUGGUGACUUUCAGAGAAUCAGAGAGGGAAAGAGAGAAGGGAGAGAGAAGAUGUGGGUUUCUCCUCUCCUCAUAAUGGGUUUAAUGGGUGGAUUGCUAAUUGGGGCCCUAUUUAUACUAUUUUUGACAUCAAUUUUCUAGAAUCUUCUUAUAUUUUCCUUUUGCCUAUUUUCCCUUUAAUUAAUGUACAUGCCUUUAAUUGCUAUUCUAAGAUGUUCUUAAAUGUUAUUAUUUUAUAAAGUUAUUGUAAAUAAUUUUGCUUAAGUGGAUAAUCGGCUUUAACUGGUCUGGUCUGGUUCAGAUUUAUGUUGGGUUGGCUGGGUUAAUGUACUUAUAAAAAUCCACUGUCUUACAAUAUGAACGCGAAUUGAUUGUUUAUCAAGGUUUAUGCGACUACAAAGCAAAAUCCCACAACUAUGCUUAGUCAUCGUAGUUGUGUGGGCUGCUUCACUUGGCCAAUCCACUGGUAAAUAUUAUACAGUGGUGAUUCAUGUAUAUUGACUUAGUGGAGAAAGCAUCCGGCAACUGUCCUUGGUAGUAAUUCUGUAUCAAACAGAUGAAAGAGUGGAAAGAAUGAAUGGGUAAAGGAAAAGCAUAGGGGCUCCAGGCUCGGUUGUGCUGCAACUUCAUGAAUUCAAGAGCUAUCAUCCACGGGAAGAAAGGAAAGCAAGGUAACAUCGUUGAGCAAUGAGAUAGAUCUAAAAGUAGUUCACCCAAGGCUUUUGCUCAGCAAACAAAACUCUCAUUGAAUCCUAUAUUAUAUGGUCCACCUCAUCGAAAUUGCAGUAUUGGGCCAAUCAGUGCCUGCCAUACAAGUAAAACUCUGUCGUGAAGAUGGAAGGGAACUGACACAACCGCUAGAGCCUAUAUAUUAUGCAUUCCUUAGUGAGUGAGCAUUGGUCUGUGUCCGUGAUGGUGACAAAGGCUAAAAUUUUAUGGUGAGAGAAUUAUCAAAAGGGUGGUUGGUUGGUUUAGUCAUUAGUGAGCUCAAGAAUGAAGACAACUGUGAUGCUUCAACCCAAAAAGGUGGUAGGGCUUUUCGGGUUUUUAUCUUUUUACCGUCCCAGUUGAAUGAUUUAGCAGUGCAGGUUGGUUAGCAUUUUAGCAGAAACAGGCAAGAAUCAUGUUUGUUGAUGCCCGUUUGUCCAAAAAACGCCAACACAAUGCAUGUGGCUAGAAUUUUCGUGCAGGGUGAUUAUUAUUCAAUUACUAUUUUGGCGUUUUUAACUCUCUUAUAUAAUGAGGGUCUGAAUGCUGAUAUGGUGUUUGGCACAUUAAAAUGUGAACAACAUUUUUUUUUUGUUUGAAUCUUAUAUUUACUUAAUACACGUGUGGAGUUUGGGGCA